AUUGAACGCUGGCGGCAGGCCUAACACAUGCAAGUCGAGCGGAUGAAGGGAGCUUGCUCAUGGAUUCAGCGGCGGACGGGUGAGUAAUGCCUAGGAAUCUGCCUGGUAGUGGGGGAUAACGUCCGGAAACGGGCGCUAAUACCGCAUACGUCCUGAGGGAGAAAGUGGGGGAUCUUCGGACCUCACGCUACCAGAUGAGCCUAGGUCGGAUUAGCUAGUUGGUGGGGUAAAGGCCUACCAAGGCGACGAUCCGUAACUGGUCUGAGAGGAUGAUCAGUCACACUGGAACUGAGACACGGUCCAGACUCCUACGGGAGGCAGCAGUGGGGAAUAUUGGACAAUGGGCGAAAGCCUGAUCCAGCCAUGCCGCGUGUGUGAAGAAGGUCUUCGGAUUGUAAAGCACUUUAAGUUGGGAGGAAGGGCAGUAAGUUAAUACCUUGCUGUUUUGACGUUACCAACAGAAUAAGCACCGGCUAACUUCGUG
RNAcentral lists this ribosomal RNA (484 nucleotides) under uncultured bacterium. Its description in RNAcentral is "partial 16S ribosomal RNA". It matches the Rfam family "Bacterial small subunit ribosomal RNA", at positions 30 to 507 of the family's 1533-position model. The record is from RNAcentral.